CGGCAAGAGCUCAAAUUUGAAAUCUGGCCCCUUUGGGGUCCGAGUUGUAAUUUGGAGAGGAUGCUUCGGGGGUGGUCCCUAUCUAAGUGCCCUGGAACGGGCCGUCAUAGAGGGUGAGAAUCCCGUCUGGGAUAGGCGGCCACGCCCGUGUGAAGCUCCUUCGA
Molecule: ribosomal RNA, 164 nt
Filed under: Talaromyces diversus
Lineage: Eukaryota; Fungi; Ascomycota; Eurotiomycetes; Eurotiales; Trichocomaceae
Description: partial large subunit ribosomal RNA
Rfam family: Eukaryotic large subunit ribosomal RNA
Source: RNAcentral